AAAGGAGAAUAUUAAAAUUAGAAGGUCUGAUGAACUCUGACGCAAACGCAUUUAAUACAAUCUUCUCCUCAUUGUAUCAGCCUGUCCACCCAAUCAGACAGGUAGGGAAUAACACAAUGUCAGAGUUAGAAGGGACCUUGGAGGUCUUCUAGCUGAAGGUUGACUCAGCCUUCCAUCCUUUCGAGAAUGAAGAUAGACAGACAGACAGAGACAGACAGACUUUUCAUGAUGGGUGACUGAAAAUCAAGCAAUUUCUCUCAGUGAUGGCCCAAGAAAGAUGCUGCAAAGGAAUGCAUGGUUCAGAAUGCCAAAAGUUAUUAUUUCAACUCUGGAUAAUGAUUAUAAAAGUAUGUCCAUGCAGGCUUA
Non-coding RNA from Pantherophis guttatus, 366 nucleotides. NCBI's taxonomy places the organism in Eukaryota, Metazoa, Chordata, Lepidosauria, Squamata, Colubridae. The record is from RefSeq and is a predicted model, not a curated record.